AGUUAUCUGCGUAGGGUACAGAGGUAAGAUGUUCUAUCUUUCAGACCUUUUGUUUCACGUUAUUGGAUUUGGCUGAUUCAGCCGCCCUGACCAUUUGGUCAGGGCGUUUUUUA
Molecule: non-coding RNA, 113 nt
Organism: Photobacterium aquae
Lineage: Bacteria; Pseudomonadati; Pseudomonadota; Gammaproteobacteria; Vibrionales; Vibrionaceae
Source: Rfam